This 367-nucleotide ribosomal RNA is filed under the name uncultured organism. Its description in RNAcentral is "bacterial SSU rRNA". It matches the Rfam family "Bacterial small subunit ribosomal RNA", at positions 526 to 896 of the family's 1533-position model. The record is from RNAcentral.
CGGAGGGUGCAAGCGUUAUCCGGAAUCAUUGGGUUUAAAGGGUCCGCAGGCGGAAGUAUAAGUCAGUGGUGAAAGCCUACAGCUCAACUGUAGAACUGCCAUUGAUACUGUACUUCUUGAAUUUGGUCGAAGUGGGCGGAAUAUGACAUGUAGCGGUGAAAUGCUUAGAUAUGUCAUAGAACACCGAUAGCGAAGGCAGCUCACUAGUCCAGUAUUGACGCUCAUGGACGAAAGCGUGGGGAGCAAACAGGAUUAGAUACCCUGGUAGUCCACGCCGUAAACUAUCAAUACUCGAUUUCAGCGAUAUACUGUUGGAGACUAAGCGAAAGUGAUAAGUAUUGCACCUGGGAGUACGAUCGCAAGGUUG